UUAAACCGACACAGGUGGGUGAGGAGAGUAUCCUAAGGCCAGCGAGAGAACUAUUGUUAAGGAACUCGGCAAAAUGACCCCGUAACUUAGGGAGAAGGGGUGCCUGUCUAUGACAGGCCGCAGAGAAUAGGCCCAAGCGACUGUUUACCAAAAACACAGGUUUCUGCUAAGUCGCAAGACGAUGUAUAGGAGCUGACGCCUGCCCGGUGCUGGAAGGUUAAGGGGAUCUGUUAGAGCAAUCGAAGCAGUGAACUUAAGCCCCAGUAAACGGCGGCCGUAACAAUAACGGUCCUAAGGUAGCGAAAUUCCUUGUCGGGUAAGUUCCGACCCGCACGAAAGGCGUAACGAUUUGGGCACUGUCUCAACAAUAGACUCGGUGAAAUUGUAAUCCCGGUGAAGAUGCCGGGUACCUGCGACAGGACGGAAAGACCCCAUGGAGCUUUACUGUAGCUUGACGUUGGGUCUUGGUACUACAUGUACAGGAUAGGUGGGAGACUAUGAAGCAUGGACGCCAGUCUGUGUGGAGUCAUCCUUGGGAUACCACCCUUGUAGUACUGGGAUCCUAACCAUAGGCCUUGAAUCAGGUCUUGGAACACCGUCAGGUAGGCAGUUUGACUGGGGCGGCCGCCUCCUAAAAAGUAACGGAGGCGCUCAAAGGUUUCCUCAGCACGGUCGGAAAUCGUGCGAAGAGUGUAAAGGCAAAAGGAAGCUUGAUUGCAAGACAUACAGGUCGAGCAAGGACGAAAGUCGGACUUAGUGAUCCGGUGGUACCGCAUGGAAGGGCCAUCGCUCAACGGAUAAAAGCUACCCUGGGGAUAACAGGCUUAUCUCCCCCAAGAGUCCACAUCGACGGGGAGGUUUGGCACCUCGAUGUCGGCUCACCACAUCCUGGGGCUGUAGUAGGUCCCAAGGGUUGGGCUGUUCGCCCAUUAAAGUGGUACGCGAGCUGGGUUCAGAACGUCGUGAGACAGUUCGGUCCCUAUCCGUCGCAGGCGUAGGAAAUUUGAGAAGACCUGUCCUUAGUACGAGAGGACCGGGAUGGACGUACCUCUGGUGUACCAGUUGUUCUGCCAAGGGCAUGGCUGGGUAGCUAUGUACGGAAUGGAUAAGCGCUGAAAGCAUCUAAGCGCGAAGCCAACUUCAAGAUAAGAUUUCCCACCGUAAGGGUAAGACCCCAGGAAGACUACCUGGUUGAUAGGUCGAAGGUGUAAGUGCAGUAAUGUAUUUAGCUUAUCGAUACUAAUAGGUCGAGGACUUG
RNAcentral lists this ribosomal RNA (1258 nucleotides) under metagenome. Its description in RNAcentral is "bacterial LSU rRNA". It matches the Rfam family "Bacterial large subunit ribosomal RNA", at positions 1649 to 2925 of the family's 2925-position model. The record is from RNAcentral.